This 72-nucleotide transfer RNA is filed under the name Marmota monax (woodchuck). It matches the Rfam family "tRNA". Rfam says of the family: Transfer RNA (tRNA) molecules are approximately 80 nucleotides in length. Their secondary structure includes four short double-helical elements and three loops (D, anti-codon, and T loops). Further hydrogen bonds mediate the characteristic L-shaped molecular structure. tRNAs have two regions of fundamental functional importance: the anti-codon, which is responsible for specific mRNA codon recognition, and the 3' end, to which the tRNAs corresponding amino acid is attached (by aminoacyl-tRNA synthetases). tRNAs cope with the degeneracy of the genetic code in two manners: having more than one tRNA (with a specific anti-codon) for a particular amino acid; and 'wobble' base-pairing, i.e. permitting non-standard base-pairing at the 3rd anti-codon position. RNAcentral also lists the same sequence under 1 other name. Lineage: Eukaryota; Metazoa; Chordata; Mammalia; Rodentia; Sciuridae. The record is from Rfam by way of RNAcentral.
AGGAAUAUAGCUCAAGUGUAGAGCAUGUGCUUAACAUGCAUGAGAUUCUGGGCUCAAUCCCUAAUACUACUA